CCAAUAGCGUAUAUUAAAGUUGUUGCAGUUAAAAAGCUCGUAGUUGAAUUUCGGGGUUCUACCGUUGGUCAGGCUAUUGUUUGUACUGGCGUGUAGAAUUUCUACCUUCUGGAGAACUAUUAUGUUAUUAAUUUAGCGUGAUAGGAAACCAGGACCUUUACCUUGAAAAAAUUAGAGUGUUCAAAGCAGGCUUAUGUCUGAAUACAUUAGCAUGGAAUAAUAAAAUAGGACGGUGGUCCUGUUUUGUUGGUUUCUGAAUCACCGUAAUGAUUAAUAGGGAUAGUUGGGGGCAUUAGUAUUCAAUUGUCAGAGGUGAAAUUCUUGGAUUUAUUGAAGACUAACUACUGCGAAAGCAUUUGCCAAGGAUGUUUUCAUUAAUCAAGAACGAAAGUUAGGGGAUCGAAGACGAUCAGAUACCGUCGUAGUCUUAACCAUAAACUAUGCCGACUAGGGAUCGGACGAUGUUAACUUUUCUUGACUCGUUCGGCGCCUUACG
Molecule: ribosomal RNA, 496 nt
Filed under: uncultured Glomeromycotina
Lineage: Eukaryota; Fungi; Glomeromycota
Description: partial small subunit ribosomal RNA
Rfam family: Eukaryotic small subunit ribosomal RNA
Source: RNAcentral